UACGUAGGUGGCAAGCGUUGUCCGGAAUUACUGGGCGUAAAGCGUGCGCAGGCGGUUUUGUAAGUCUGACGUGAAAUCCCCGGGCUCAACCUGGGAAUUGCAUUGGAGACUGCAAGGCUAGAAUCUGGCAGAGGGGGGUAGAAUUCCACGUGUAGCAGUGAAAUGCGUAGAGAUGUGGAGGAACACCGAUGGCGAAGGCAGCCCCCUGGGUCAAGAUUGACGCUCAUGCACGAAAGCGUGGGGAGCAAACAGG
RNAcentral lists this ribosomal RNA (253 nucleotides) under uncultured bacterium. RNAcentral describes it as "partial 16S ribosomal RNA". It matches the Rfam family "Bacterial small subunit ribosomal RNA", at positions 524 to 776 of the family's 1533-position model. The record is from RNAcentral.